AGGUGAGUCAGAGCUCGGGGGAAAGUUUGAGAGAGGGUGAGCGCGAGCUGAGCGCGGCUGGAUUAUUCGCGCGCGCGGAGAUGACUGCGGGAUGGCGGUAGCGGCCGCGGGUCCCGCGCAGCGCGCGCACAGGAGCGGGUUCGUGGAGGUGCUCGUGCGCGAGCAGUGGCACCGCGUGUUCGCGAGUUUGGGCGACGAGGCGCUGACCCUGAGCUGUGAGGAGAACGGGCACGCGCACGAGCAUGUAAACGGCGAGGCGGAUGCGGGGGCGCGCGGCGCGUUCACGUUCUCCGAGGCUGAGGAACAUGUUCCCGAGACCAUCGCUAACAGGAAGCGCUGCGUGAAGGUGGUGAAGCAGGACAUGGGCGGGCUGGGCAUCAGCAUUAAAGGUGGGAAGGAGAACAAGAUGCCCAUCCUCAUCAGCAAGAUCUUUAAGGGUCUGGCGGCGGAUCAGACGCAGGCGCUGUACGUGGGGGACGCCAUCCUGUCGGUAAACAAGGUGAACCUGCGGGACGCCACCCACGACGAGGCCGUGCAGGCCCUGAAGAAAGCCGGCCGAGAGGUCACGCUGGACGUGAAGUACAUACGAGAAGCCACACCAUACGUGAAGAAGGGAUCUCCUGUGUCUGAGAUCGGAUGGGAAACUCCUCCCCCUGAAUCUCCACGGCUUGGCAGUCCCCUCUCAGACACCCCCACCCUGCCCUCACUUUCCCUCCAGGGAGACCGCAGAUACAUCCCUCUCAGAAUGUGCUACAUCACCCGGGCUAUGACCACACCUGACCCAGAGAACAGGCAGUUGGAGCUGCACUCUCCGGAUGGGAAGCACACUGUGGUUCUGCGCUGUUCGGACUCGGCCUCGGCUCAGGCCUGGUUGGCGCCCCUGCAGUCCGUGGCCUCCAGCCUCAUGGAUAAAGUUGUCUCGGAGCUUCGGGAACACGUGGCACGGAAUGGCAUCGGCGGGACCCGGGAUAUACGCCACCUCGGCUGGCUGGCAGAGAGGACGGAGAGGGAGCAGCGGUGCUGGAGGCCGGUGGUGGUGGUGGUGACGGACAGGGAUCUGCGGCUGUAUGAUAGCAUGGCUCGCAUGAAGGAGAACUGGCUCAACCCCAAACACACCUACCCUCUACUCUCUACACGGCUGGUCCACUCCGGCCCGGAGAGAGGGUCUCCUCAGCCGGGAGGGGAGCUGUCCUUUGCCACACGGACGGGCACGCGACUUGGCAUCGAGACCCACGUGUUCCGCGCUGAGACCUGCAAAGAACUUUCCCUGUGGACCCGCCACAUAGUGACCGGUUGCCACGCCUCUGCCGAGAUGAUCAAAGAAGUAACAACCAGCUGCAGGUAUAAGGGUCUGGACUGCAGGCUGGUCAUCCACUAUGAGCUGGGCUUCUCUGUGGUGGAGGAGGUGGAGGACUCUCACGGUCAGACGCUCUUCAGUUACCCCUUUGAGAAACUGCGGAUGUCCUCGGACAACGGCGUGCGGAUGCUGUAUUUGGAUUUCGGAGGAACAGAGGGGGAAGUUCAGCUGGACCUGCAUUCCUGCCCCAAACCCAUCGUCUUCAUCCUCCACUCCUUCCUCUCAGCCAAGAUCACCAGACUGGGCUUAGUGGCCUAAGAGGAACUGGAUCCAGCAGGGACUUUAAUAAGCUGGGACGGGACCAUGGAGGAGGACUGGGACCAUGGAGAAAGACAGGGACGUUAAAGAAGGAUAGAGGUUAGAAAGACUGUAAUGUUGGAACAUGAGGACAUUGGUGGAGGGGAGUACGAUAUCAAAGGACUAAGACGCUGGAGGAGGUCGGGGACGCUGGAGGAGGUCGGGGACGCUGGAGGAGGUCGGGGACGCUGGAGGAGAACAGGGACGUUGGAGGUGAA
Molecule: RNA transcript, 1872 nt
Organism: Astyanax mexicanus (Mexican tetra)
Lineage: Eukaryota; Metazoa; Chordata; Actinopteri; Characiformes; Acestrorhamphidae
Gene: sntb1
Gene name: syntrophin, basic 1
Exons: 9
Source: RefSeq, a predicted model, not a curated record